AAGUCGUAACAAGGUUUCCGUAGGUGAACCUGCGGAAGGAUCAUUAACACGUAUCCAACGUUAAACCCCCCGUGAACCUUCAGCAAUCCCUGGUAAAUCAUUGACGAACAGUUUUGAUUCAGGGACUUCUGCGUAGACUGUGCUUGAGCGUGAGGCAAGUGGCCUGGCAUUCCUCUGCUUGUUGGUGUCUGAAAGUGUCACCAGCUCUGUACGAAUGGCGCAGUCACGAUCGCUAGAGGCCGACACGGCCGGCGACCGGGUCACUGGGCGCGAGCCCCCCUCGUCACCUUUGCAUGAAAACGGGCCUGCGCUUAAUUGUGCGGCCACCAAACUCGAACAACUGUUAACAAUGGAUAUCUUGGUUCUC
RNAcentral lists this unclassified non-coding RNA (367 nucleotides) under fungal sp. RNAcentral describes it as "partial internal transcribed spacer region". The stretch from base 1 to 46 matches the Rfam family "Eukaryotic small subunit ribosomal RNA", at positions 1786 to 1831 of the family's 1831-position model. The record is from RNAcentral. Lineage: Eukaryota; Fungi.